RNAcentral lists this long non-coding RNA (199 nucleotides) under Elaeis guineensis (African oil palm). RNAcentral describes it as "long non-coding RNA (EGUI_LNC030348)". Lineage: Eukaryota; Viridiplantae; Streptophyta; Magnoliopsida; Arecales; Arecaceae. The record is from RNAcentral.
GGGUGUGGAGGUUCUAGGGUUUAGAUCUUAGGCAUUGGGAUUUGUGAGAGAAAAGAAAGAGUUCUCUUUUUUCUCCUCAUCUUCUUCCUCCAAGUCCUUCUUCAUCUCUGAGAGGAUCUGAGAGUUCAGAAGGAGGUGUUCAAUCAACCAUCAGGCGGUGGCUUCUACAAGAAUGCUAGCACUCCGAUAAAGCAAUAGA